CCUACGGGAGGCAGCAGUGAGGAAUAUUGGUCAAUGGGCGCGAGCCUGAACCAGCCAAGUAGCGUGAAGGAUGACUGCCCUACGGGUUGUAAACUUCUUUUAUAAAGGAAUAAAGUGCGGGACGUGUCCCGUUUUGUAUGUACCUUAUGAAUAAGGAUCAGCUAACUCCGUGCCAGCAGCCGCGGUAAUACGGAGGAUCCGAGCGUUAUCCGGAUUUAUUGGGUUUAAAGGGUGCGUAGGCGGCCUUUUAAGUCAGCGGUGAAAGUCUGUGGCUCAACCAUAGAAUUGCCGUUGAAACUGGGAGGCUUGAGUAUGUUUGAGGCAGGCGGAAUGCGUGGUGUAGCGGUGAAAUGCUUAGAUAUCACGCAGAACCCCGAUUGCGAAGGCAGCCUGCCAAGCCAUGACUGACGCUGAUGCACGAAAGCGUGGGGAUCAAACAGGAUUAGAUACCCCUGUAGUC
Molecule: ribosomal RNA, 460 nt
Filed under: uncultured bacterium
Lineage: Bacteria
Description: partial 16S ribosomal RNA
Rfam family: Bacterial small subunit ribosomal RNA
Source: RNAcentral